UUGAAGGCUGAAAUUCGCCUUCAUGAAGCCGGAAUUGCUAGUAAUGGCAGGUCAGCAUACUGCCGUGAAUACGUUCCCGGGCCUUGUACACACCGCCCGUCACACCAUGAGAGUUGGGGAUACCCGAAGCCUGUGAGCCAACUUUUUAAGAGGCAGCAGUCGAAGGUAGAAUCAAUGAUUGGGGUGAAGUCGUAACAAGGUAAC
This 204-nucleotide ribosomal RNA is filed under the name uncultured bacterium. Its description in RNAcentral is "partial 16S ribosomal RNA". It matches the Rfam family "Bacterial small subunit ribosomal RNA", at positions 1298 to 1500 of the family's 1533-position model. The record is from RNAcentral.